Molecule: long non-coding RNA, 571 nt
Filed under: Homo sapiens (human)
Lineage: Eukaryota; Metazoa; Chordata; Mammalia; Primates; Hominidae
Description: HSALNT0161505
Source: RNAcentral
ACAAGCUGAAGGGCAACAAGGGCUUGGGAAGCUUGACAAAAGAGGGGAUCUUUCAAUUGGGUCAUUAAGGGUGACUAGGAGUUGCCAAUGGAUGGUAGAGAAAGGACUUUCAGGUGAAAGAAGGUGCAAAGUUAUGGCGAGAAACUAGAUCAGACUUAGAAAAACCUAAGCCCUGUUUUAUGUGAACAUGGAGGAAGGCACAGGGAGGCAAGACUCGGGAGGAAAAGCAGAAAAAGAUGGAUGAAAUGAUAAAUGAAUUUGACAUGGAAGAUUGGGAAGGGAGGAAGUUGACAAUCUGUACUCCUGAAAAUAGGCAUAUAGAAUUAGGGUCGGCAGGGGAUGAACUGCAUCUGAAAUUGGUCCAACCUGGCUGCACAAGGAACUCUUUGGUCAACACAAUUCUUAAAAUUAGAGGGUAUGAGAUGAGAAAGAGAACCAUCUGGGCAUGGAGAAUUGGCACCAAGCAAGAGCAAGGAACCAGACAUCAGUUACGGAAAAUGUAUCCCCACAUCACAUCAUGGGAGCCUAGCUCACAGACACUGCCAAUGGAAAUUGCAGAAAUAGAUCAACU